RNAcentral lists this ribosomal RNA (445 nucleotides) under uncultured bacterium. RNAcentral describes it as "partial 16S ribosomal RNA". It matches the Rfam family "Bacterial small subunit ribosomal RNA", at positions 354 to 796 of the family's 1533-position model. The record is from RNAcentral.
GUGAGGAAUAUUGCGCAAUGGAGGCAACUCUGACGCAGCCAUGCCGCGUGCAGGAAGAAGGCGCUACGCGUUGUAAACUGCUUUUAACCGGGAAGAAACCCCAGGACGUGUCCUGGGUUGACGGUACCGGAGGAAUAAGCACCGGCUAACUUCCUGCCAGCAGCCGCGGUAAUACGAAGGGUGCAAGCGUUAUCCGGAUUCAUUGGGUUUAUAGGGUGCGUAGGCGGAGCGUUAAGUCAGUGGUGAAAUCCUGCAGCUUAACUGUAGACUUGCCAUUGAUACUGGCGAUCUUGAGUGCGAUUGAAGUGGGCGGAAUGUGCCGUGUAGCGGUGGAAUGCUUAGAUAUGGCACAGAACACCAAUUGCGAAGGCAGCUCACUAAGGCGAUACUGACGCUGGGGCACGAAAGCGUGGGGAUCGAACAGGAUUAGAUACCCGGGUAGUCC